GGAGUAGAAUACUUUUGGGUGAAUCUGGAGAUGAAAAUGAGUGGAUGUAUGUGGAUGCGUACUUCCGGAGUAGAAGCAGCAUGUGUGAGUGAACGUGCAAGUGAAUCUUGAUUUUAACCGCAUGACAAGCUCCUAAGGGUCUACACAGCUUGACCACACUCAAUGCUCAUAAGCAGUAAAAAGUAAAUGUGUGGCUCAGAGUCUAAUAAGCAUGUAUAUAUGGCAUCAUGUGUUAUUUUAAAGAUUUUUCAAAGAUAAAAUUCUCCAGAAUUCUAGCAUCUCUAGGAACAGAUCAACAGCAGCUCAACCUUCCCAUAUCAUAUCUGUUAACGACUUAGACUUCAGAUCAAGUACUCUUCCCACAAGUUUAGGUUUAGAGCAGAUUUAAAUUAUAAGUUAUGCCUAAACUUGAGAGAGAUUUCAAUUUUAUGAACUAGUCAUGGCAGAGCAACUAUUCAGCAUUUCCAUGUGAGAGCUUAUCCUUUAAGUUCAGUUUGGCCUAGACACUUUUUUUAUUUAUUUAGCAAACUAAGCAAAGAUAUAUAUAAGCACAAAAUUUUUAUUUGGGUUUUCAUGAUUAUGCAUCUUUUUAUUAUUUGAGUAAAGUAUAAACGCAAGUAGAAACACUUAGCUGGAUAAAUGGGGGUGCUCUCCCCCAAGCUGGAUUUUGACGUAAUUUCUUCUGAUGUAGCUAGCAGGUGGUGGAGGUGUAUUUGAAAGUCGGCAGCAUCCUGACAGCGAUUAGGAUGUCCUCCAUCUGCUAGUCUUCUUUGAUCCUUGAAUUCUGUGGAGCUCAAAUAGACAACAAAGCUUUGUGGAACUGGUUAAGUUUUAGCAUAAAUAUCUAGCCUUUAUCAUGUUGAGCCUCCUCAAUAAAUGUUUUUUAUUUAGCAGGAUCAUGCACUUGUUAUUUUUAUAUUUUUAUUGUAAGAUGAAAACUUAUUUAUUUUAUUUUUAUGCCACUACAGUGAAUGUACUUAUGGGUUUUAUGCCAUGAGCAUACUCACAUGGGGCUUACUAUUUUUUAACAUUUUUAUUUUCUUUUCGAGAUGAUAUGAACCUGAUUAACUAAGCAAACUAUUUUAAAUAGUUGAAAGGAAAAAGGAUAACUACCAAGUUUACCUCUUGGCAAGGCGUUCGGUGUUUUUAAUUCCUCCGAACCGGACUUUCCGUUUUCUGAGUCGUCCUGGGAUUCGCUGGAUGGCGUAGUCGGUGGUUCCGGCGAUGCCUCCUCUUCGUGUAUAACUAUCUUCUCUCUCCACACCUGACUCGGUGCUACGGUCUCCUCAGGACAGUUCUGUUCAAGUUGUAUGUCUUCAGACCUUAACACUUCCCCUUCAUAGUCUGCCCAUCCGUCCUUGAUGAUUUGCCUCCUCUGGUUGCGUCGUCUUCUUCUUGUCCUGACCUACUUAGAGUCUUCAACUAUAUAGUUAUGGUCAGUAAAAUAGUGACGUACCUUCUCAGAGGGGAAGUGCAUGUGGACUUCUCCGGUUCCAAUGUAGAUGAUAGCUUUGAUAGUGUUGAGGAAUGGUCUUCCAAGGAUGAUGGGUGGAUCGUACUCGUAUUUUCUCAUGUCAAUGACCUAAAAAUCAUCUGGAGCUGAAUGUAUGUUGGUUGUAGGGGCAUGGUUCCAUGCAGGAGCUGAUAAGUGACUGCGGCCAUUAUGUUGUCAUCAGAUCCGGUGUCGUAGAGUGUCUUCUAAAAAGAGUAUCUAUUGAUUGUGCAUUCGAUGCUUGGAACACUAGGGUCGUCCUUCUUGAUCUUGAGUCGACGAUCUUGACCUCCUCCGACAAGGAUCCAAUGUUUGAAGUCUUCUGGACAAGACUUCUCACUGUCUUCAUCCUUUAGGUGCAUCAUUUGAUUAGGUGUGGACCUUGACGCCUGCACCUCUUGAUACGGAGUCACCCAUGUUCUUCGUUUGCCCAGCAGUUCGAAGUGCGGUGUUGGCAAUAUCCUGCUCAGUGUGUUUGUGCUCGUAGAUCCAGAUCCUUCACUUGGUGGAAUCUCGGAGUUGUAAAACUCCUCCAUGUUUUGCUCGAAGUGUACCUGUUCAUAGAGACAAGGCAGAGAUCAAGUGCAUGGGCCCUGUUGGUGAAAAACACCAACAGAACCAAGAGUGUAUUUGUUCUUCUCUAACCUUAAGCAUAGUGAACAAGACAAAGUUGAUGGAUCAUGAGUGUAGCAUUUGUCAGAUUAGAUGGCUCAACCUAAUAGAAAGAUAAUCUAUCUAUAUUUAUGUUUUGUUUAUAUCUUCCAAAGAUUGAAUUUGCAACAUAUUAGCUUAUAUGAUUAGGAGUGUGGGAUCACGAAGGUAGUACUAAGAACAA
Molecule: long non-coding RNA, 2327 nt
Filed under: Sorghum bicolor (sorghum)
Lineage: Eukaryota; Viridiplantae; Streptophyta; Magnoliopsida; Poales; Poaceae
Description: long non-coding RNA (SBIC_LNC000794)
Source: RNAcentral